This 699-nucleotide long non-coding RNA is filed under the name Pan troglodytes (chimpanzee). RNAcentral describes it as "lincRNA". Lineage: Eukaryota; Metazoa; Chordata; Mammalia; Primates; Hominidae. The record is from RNAcentral.
CACCGCAAGGACUGGAGAAGGGCACCCUUGGAAAUGCAAUGCUACAUCUCAAUGGGAUUUUCCAGUACAAAGAUUCUUUUCAAAUAACAUAAUUGUGGAUACACACCACUCCUACAGUGGUAAACCUCAGGUUCUCCUCCUGCCUUUUGCUAAGUAUAUGUCUUGAUGACAAGCCUUCUGCUGAUGAGCUGUGUUUCUGGACCGAUCAUGGUAGAAGUCAAUUAACGUGUCCCUCACUUGGGGUUUCUCAAGGCUGCACUGAUGAGGAAACUGAAACAGAAAAUCCAGAGUAAAUUCCACCAGGCCACACAGCAAGGUCUGAUAGAGCCAGGAGAGACUUUAUGAAAUCCAGACUCUCACACUAAUGCUCUAUCAGCUAGACCUCCAUGUGAGUCUCCCCAAUGUAGGUAGGAAGUGCUUUCCCUAAAAUGCUCAUAAAGCAAAUCAGAGCAAUGCUGCAUUCCAUGUGAUUUCUAAUUUGAAAUGCAAACAAUUGCCAAUUUGUUUGACUUGUAUUUAUAAUUAUUUCCUUGUGAAUUACUCAUCACUAAAUGCUUUAUAAAUAUUUUCUCUUUUUUUCCUCAAUGUCUAUGGAAUGAUCACAGCAUAGAAAAUGUUGGCUUUCAAGGAUUUAUUAAUAUCUCCUUUUGAAAUAACAUGUAUUUGUAAGACGGAAUAAAAUCACUUUAAAGAAACAAA